Molecule: ribosomal RNA, 497 nt
Filed under: uncultured bacterium
Lineage: Bacteria
Description: partial 16S ribosomal RNA
Rfam family: Bacterial small subunit ribosomal RNA
Source: RNAcentral
GAUGAACGCUGGCGGCGUGCCUAAUACAUGCAAGUCGAGCGAACAGACGAGGAGCUUGCUCCUCUGACGUUAGCGGCGGAUGGGUGAGUAACACGUGGAUAACCUACCUAUAAGACUGGGAUAACUUCGGGAAACCGUAGCUAAUACCGGAUAAUAUAUUGAACCGCAUGGUUCAAUAGUGAAAGACGGUUUUGCUGUCACUUAUAGCUGGAUCCGCGCCGCAUUAGCUAGUUGGUAAGGUAACGGCUUACCAAGGCAACGAUGCGUAGCCGACCUGAGAGGGUGAUCGGCCACACUGGAACUGAGACACGGUCCAGACUCAUACGGGAGGCAGCAGUAGGGAAUCUUCCGCAAUGGGCGAAAGCCUGACGGAGAAACGCCGAGUGAGUGAUGAUGGUAUUCGGAUCGUAAAACGCUGUUAUUAGGGAAGAAAAAAUGUGUAAGUAACUAUGCACGUCUUGACGGUACCUAAUCAGAAAGCCACGGCUAACUACGUG